UGCAGACGUUCUCUUUCUGUGCUGUGUUCGGACAUGGCGGUCUCUGGCUCCUGGCAGAACUGUGAGGUGCAAUCCUCCGCCAUCCGCGCCUGCUGGAUGGCGUUCUACAUCGGACUGGUGACCGAGUCUUCCCGCAGCUUCUCGUGCAGCUGACCAGGUGUUAAGCCGGUGGACUGGCGGAGCUAUGCGGUUCUGUAUCUGUCCAGAUGUCUGAUGUGAAGAUGAAACGCUCCUUUAAGGAGUGCUUCCAGAAGCAUUGGGACCCAGAAGCUGAAUAACAUCAGACUGGGGAACAUCAUUCAUGGCUUCCAGGAAAGUUGGGACAAAUCAUGGCCACUGACCUGAAGUCUGGAAAUCCUGUACAGGCUGGGU
Molecule: long non-coding RNA, 372 nt
Organism: Bufo bufo (common toad)
Lineage: Eukaryota; Metazoa; Chordata; Amphibia; Anura; Bufonidae
Exons: 6
Source: RefSeq, a predicted model, not a curated record